GAUGAACGCUGGCGGCGUGCCUAAUACAUGCAAGUCGAGCGAACGGACGAGAAGCUUGCUUCUCUGAUGUUAGCGGCGGACGGGUGAGUAACACGUGGAUAACCUACCUAUAAGACUGGGAUAACUUCGGGAAACCGGAGCUAAUACCGGAUAAUAUUUUGAACCGCAUGGUUCAAAAGUGAAAGACGGUCUUGCUGUCACUUAUAGAUGGAUCCGCGCUGCAUUAGCUAGUUGGUAAGGUAACGGCUUACCAAGGCAACGAUGCAUAGCCGACCUGAGAGGGUGAUCGGCCACACUGGAACUGAGACACGGUCCAGGCUCCUACGGGAGGCAGCAGUAGGGAAUCUUCCGCAAUGGGCGGAAGCCUGACGGAGCAACGCCGCGUGAGUGAUGAAGGUCUUCGGAUCGUAAAACUCUGUUAUUAGGGAAGAACAUAUGUGUAAGUAACUGUGCACAUCUUGACGGUACCUAAUCAGAAAGCCACGGCUAACUACGUG
This 497-nucleotide ribosomal RNA is filed under the name uncultured bacterium. RNAcentral's name for it is "partial 16S ribosomal RNA". It matches the Rfam family "Bacterial small subunit ribosomal RNA", at positions 28 to 507 of the family's 1533-position model. The record is from RNAcentral.